Molecule: ribosomal RNA, 497 nt
Filed under: uncultured bacterium
Lineage: Bacteria
Description: partial 16S ribosomal RNA
Rfam family: Bacterial small subunit ribosomal RNA
Source: RNAcentral
GAUGAACGCUGGCGGCGUGCCUAAUACAUGCAAGUCGAGCGAACGGACGAGAAGCUUGCUUCUCUGAUGUUAGCGGCGGACGGGUGAGUAACACGUGGAUAACCUACCUAUAAGACUGGGAUAACUUCGGGAAACCGUAGCUAAUACCGGAUAAUAUUUUGAACCGCAUGGUUCAAAAGUGAAAGACGGUCUUGCUGUCACUUAUAGAUGGAUCCGCGCUGCAUUAGCUAGUUGGUAAGGUAACGGCUUACCAAGGCAACGAUGCAUAGCCGACCUGAGAGGGUGAUUGGCCACACUGGAACUGAGACACGGUCCAGACUCCUACGGGAGGCAGCAGUAGGGAAUCUUCCGCAAUGGGCGAAAGCCUGACGGAGCAACGCCGCGUGAGUGAUGAAGGUCUUCGGAUCGUAAAACUCUGUUAUUAGGGAAGAACAUAUGUGUAAGUAACUGUGCACAUCUUGACGGUACCUAAUCAGAAAGCCACGGCUAACUACGUG